RNAcentral lists this transfer RNA (91 nucleotides) under Chloroflexota bacterium. RNAcentral's name for it is "Chloroflexi bacterium (groundwater metagenome) tRNA-Ser". It matches the Rfam family "tRNA". From Rfam's summary of the family: Transfer RNA (tRNA) molecules are approximately 80 nucleotides in length. Their secondary structure includes four short double-helical elements and three loops (D, anti-codon, and T loops). Lineage: Bacteria; Bacillati; Chloroflexota. The record is from RNAcentral.
GGAGAGGUGCUGGAGUGGCCUAACAGGCACGCCUGGAAAGCGUGAGUAGCCGUAAAGGUUACCGUGGGUUCGAAUCCCACCCUCUCCGCCA